CCUACGGGUGGCAUCAGUGGGGAAUAUUGGACAAUGGGGGGAACCCUGAUCCAGCCAUGCCGCGUGUGUGAAGAAGGCCCUCGGGUUGUAAAGCACUUUCAGUGAGGAAGAACGCCUGGUGGUUAAUACCCAUCAGGAAAGACAUCACUCACAGAAGAAGCACCGGCUAACUCCGUGCCAGCAGCCGCGGUAAUACGGAGGGUGCGAGCGUUAAUCGGAAUUACUGGGCGUAAAGCGCGCGUAGGUGGCUUGAUAAGCCGGUUGUGAAAGCCCCGGGCUCAACCUGGGAACGGCAUCCGGAACUGUCAAGCUAGAGUGCAGGAGAGGAAGGUAGAAUUCCCGGUGUAGCGGUGAAAUGCGUAGAGAUCGGGAGGAAUACCAGUGGCGAAGGCGGCCUUCUGGACUGACACUGACACUGAGGUGCGAAAGCGUGGGUAGCAAACAGGAUUAGAUACCCGGGUAGUC
RNAcentral lists this ribosomal RNA (465 nucleotides) under Vreelandella stevensii. Its description in RNAcentral is "partial 16S ribosomal RNA". It matches the Rfam family "Bacterial small subunit ribosomal RNA", at positions 338 to 795 of the family's 1533-position model. The record is from RNAcentral. Lineage: Bacteria; Pseudomonadati; Pseudomonadota; Gammaproteobacteria; Oceanospirillales; Halomonadaceae.